Molecule: ribosomal RNA, 253 nt
Filed under: uncultured bacterium
Lineage: Bacteria
Description: partial 16S ribosomal RNA
Rfam family: Bacterial small subunit ribosomal RNA
Source: RNAcentral
UACAGAGGGGGCAAGCGUUGUUCGGAAUUACUGGGCGUAAAGGGCGCGUAGGCGGCCUCAUAAGUCCGCUGUGAAAGUCAAAGGCUCAACCUUUGAAAGCCGGUGGAUACUGUGAGGCUAGAGUACGGAAGAGGCGAGUGGAAUUCCUGGUGUAGCGGUGGAAUGCGCAGAGAUCGUAAGGAAGACCAGUGGCGAAGGCGGGUCUCUGGACAGUAACUGACGCUGAGGAGCGAAAGCGUGGGGAGCGAACAGG